Molecule: ribosomal RNA, 253 nt
Filed under: uncultured bacterium
Lineage: Bacteria
Description: partial 16S ribosomal RNA
Rfam family: Bacterial small subunit ribosomal RNA
Source: RNAcentral
GACGAACCGAGCGAACGUUGUUCGGAAUCACUGGGCUUAAAGGGCGCGUAGGCGGGCUGUCAAGUUUGGGGUGAAAUCCCACGGCUCAACCGUGGAACUGCUCGGUAUACUGCCUGUCUUGUGCAACCUAGGGGCGAGCGGAACAGAUGGUGGAGCGGUGAAAUGCGUAGAUAUCAUCUGGAACGCCAAUGGUGAAAACAGCUCGCUGGGGGUUUGCAGACGCUGAGACACGAAAGCCAGGGGAGCGAACGGG